CGCGAAAUUUUCAAUUGGCAUUUAUCCGUUUCAGAUCCGUUCAUCAUCCGUUUUAUCCGUUACACGUCCGGUAGAAGUCCGUUUCUCAUCCGUUCAACAUCCGUUUUAUCCGUUAAACGUCCGGUAGAAGUCCGUUGGUGAAUUUAUCUUCCAGACCUCCAACGGAUGUAUAACGGACACGUAACGGAUACAAAACGGAAACGAAACGGACGAGUACCGUACAAAACGGACGCCCAACGGACGUUCAACGGACAUUUUAUCCGUUGGACGUCCGUUCAAAGUUUUGAACAUGCUCAAAAUUUUCCACCAGACAGAACGGACGUCGACGGAUAAAACGUACGCUUAACGGACAUGCAACGGAUAUGGACGGACGUCUAACGGAUAAGAACGGACGUCUAACGGACAUGAACGGAUUGAAAAAAAGUUAUCUGUUAGGCGUCCGUUCGAGCUAUCCGGUAAGGUGUGACCUAGGCUUAAG
RNAcentral lists this long non-coding RNA (478 nucleotides) under Mytilus galloprovincialis (Mediterranean mussel). The record is from RNAcentral. Lineage: Eukaryota; Metazoa; Mollusca; Bivalvia; Mytilida; Mytilidae.